This 342-nucleotide RNase P RNA is filed under the name Alphaproteobacteria bacterium. RNAcentral's name for it is "RNase P RNA component class A". It matches the Rfam family "Bacterial RNase P class A". Rfam says of the family: Ribonuclease P (RNase P) is a ubiquitous endoribonuclease, found in archaea, bacteria and eukarya as well as chloroplasts and mitochondria. Lineage: Bacteria; Pseudomonadati; Pseudomonadota; Alphaproteobacteria. The record is from RNAcentral. RNAcentral also lists the same sequence under 1 other name.
GUCAGAGAGUGAGUAGUCGCUUUUUAAAGAGGAAAGUCCGGGCUCUAUAGAAAGAAGGUGCUGGAUAACUUCCAGCAGGGGUAACCCUAGGGAAAGUGCCACAGAAAAUAUACCGCCAUUUUGGUAAGGGUGAAAUGGUGUGGUAAGAGCGCACCGCAUUUCUAGUAAUAGAAAUGGCAUGGUAAACCCCACCUAGAGCAAGACCAAAUAGGAGAAACAAAUUUUGUCUUUCUACAAAGUUUCUCGGGUAGGUCGCUAGAAAAGUUUGGUAACAAAUUUUCAAGAUGAAUGACUACAAUCAAAAUUUAGAUACAAAACCCGGCUUACAACUCUCUGACACUA